GUGCGCGCAUGGGGUUCCGGAAUGAGCCGGGGAAAGCAAGGGGAAGGUUUGGGGUUGGUUCCCGGUUUUGCGCAUGCGUGCACUGCACAAACCAUUUGGCGGGUUUUUCCGGCCACUCUGUUCUGCCACCGUCACUGAGAAGCUCAGCGGUAGCUUUUGGGAAGCAGGACGUUCUCACCAGGAGAGCGUCCUCUCGAGAUUUCUGCUCCCUCCAUUCAGGGCGUUUGGGAGCCACCCCUUCAUUUUUUAAAAAAAAUAUUUCUCUGUGACCGACGGCCGGGGCCUUCUGACGGUCUGAGGUCCUGCUUGGGUCAGUCACCUCCAGUCACGGUCCGCGGAGGGGGGAAGGAUAAGAGGGCGAGGAGCUCAUCGCUCGCCACCCCCGUGGGCUUCUUGGGCGCAGGUCGGAGCUGGGUGGGCCGGCUCCCCGGUCCCUGGCUUGGGCGACCAUGUCCGCAUCCGCCCAGCAGCUGGCGGAGGAGCUGCAGAUCUUCGGCCUAGACUGCGAGGAGGCUCUAAUUGAGAAAUUGGUAGAGCUUUGUGUUCAGUAUGGACAGAAUGAGGAGGGAAUGGUAGGCGAGCUUAUAGCCUUCUGCACCAGCACACAUAAAGUUGGCCUUACCUCAGAGAUCCUGAACUCUUUUGAGCAUGAGUUUCUGAGCAAAAGAUUAUCGAAAGCCAGGCAUAGUACCUGCAAGGACAGUGGCCAUGCAGGAGCUAGAGACAUUGUUUCCAUUCAAGAGCUAAUUGAAGUGGAAGAAGAAGAGGAAAUCCUCUUGAACUCUUACACCACACCUUCAAAGGGUUCUCAGAAGCGAGCUAUCUCUACCCCAGAAACCCCCCUAACAAAAAGGAGUGUGUCAACUCGUAGCCCCCAUCAGCUACUCUCACCGUCAAGUUUCUCUCCAAGUGCUACUCCCUCCCAGAAAUACAACUCACGAAGUAACCGAGGAGAAGUGGUUACCUCCUUCGGCUUAGCACAGGGAGUAUCUUGGUCUGGGAGAGGAGGAGCUGGAAACAUCAGCCUGAAGGUCUUGGGAUGUCCAGAGGCACUAACUGGGAGCUACAAAUCCAUGUUUCAGAAGCUCCCAGACAUUCGAGAAGUUCUGACCUGUAAGAUAGAAGAACUUGGCAGCGAACUCAAGGAACAUUACAAGAUUGAAGCUUUCACUCCUUUGCUAGCCCCAGCACAGGAGCCUGUCACUCUGCUGGGCCAGAUUGGCUGUGAUAGCAACGGGAAGCUGAACAACAAGUCAGUGAUUCUCGAGGGAGACCGGGAACAUUCCUCGGGUGCUCAAAUUCCAGUGGAUUUAUCUGAGCUUAAGGAAUAUUCUCUGUUUCCUGGACAGGUUGUAAUUAUGGAAGGAAUCAACACCACUGGUAGGAAACUUGUUGCCACCAAACUCUACGAGGGUGUGCCACUUCCAUUUUAUCAGCCCACUGAAGAGGAUGCAGACUUUGAGCAAAGCAUGGUCCUGGUUGCCUGUGGACCAUACACCACGUCUGACAGCAUCACGUAUGACCCCCUGCUUGACCUGAUUGCUGUCAUCAACCAUGACCGGCCAGAUGUCUGCAUCCUGUUUGGCCCUUUCCUGGAUGCUAAGCAUGAACAGGUGGAGAAUUGUCUACUGACAAGUCCAUUUGAAGACAUUUUCAAGCAGUGUCUACGAACAAUUAUUGAAGGCACAAGAAGCUCCGGCUCCCACCUUGUCUUUGUCCCGUCAUUGAGAGAUGUGCACCAUGAGCCUGUGUACCCCCAGCCGCCUUUCAGCUACUCCGAUCUGUCUCGAGAGGACAAAAAGCAAGUACAGUUUGUGUCCGAGCCCUGCAGCCUCUCCAUAAACGGAGUGAUCUUCGGCUUGACGUCCACAGAUCUGCUUUUCCACCUGGGGGCCGAGGAGAUCAGUAGGAUAAACUGGGAAUUUUCUCUGAAGGAUUUUCUUCACUACCAGUACAACAUCCAGCUCUGCAGAGAAUCAGGCCCUGACAAAUUUGUUGAGUUGAAGUUGGGCAGCUCCAUUCUGCCGUCAUCCUUGAUGGGAAGGGGCGUGUGAAGCGACUCGCGUGUGAAGCGAGACGGGUGCGGCUCCUUGGCUGAGGUUUGAGAUUCAGUUCUUCCGGAACUUCAGACAGAUUCAGCCGAAUACUCAAGCACAUCUUGACCCAGAGGAGCUACUACCCACUCUACCCGCCCCAGGAAGACAUGGCCAUUGACUAUGAGUCGUUCUAUGUUUACGCACAGCUGCCUGUCACCCCAGAUGUCCUCAUCAUCCCGUCAGAGCUGAGGUACUUUGUGAAGAAGCAGGCAGCUUGGAAAGAAAAGAGGUGGGAGGCCCGCCUGCAGGGACAGCACAACACCUGCUAAGGGCCCUGCAGGUUGGGGGUCUCUUCUCGGCAGCGGGAUGCAGAAAUGAAUGAGCGGACAGAAUCUGUGCUGCCACCCAGAGCUGCCACUCCAGCACAGAAACCUGUUAACAGUGGACACUGCAGAGCAUCAGAUGGAGUCAAGUGUGUCAGAUGGAGAAAACCAGAGCAGGCCAAGGGCAGAGGUGCCUGGAGUUGUGGUGGGUGCUGCACAGAGGAGGGGUCACCAGCUCCCAACUUUUAUUUCCUAAACAUGUGUCUCCCAUACACCCUCUUCUUGCUAUCCCCGGCAUCCUACCAUCCACCCAUCCGUCCACCCAUCCAUUUACCUAACCAUCCAUUCUUCCAUCCAUCCAUCCAUCCAUCCAUCCAUCCGUCCAUCCAUUCAUCUACCCACCCACCCAUCUAUCUAUCCAUCCACGUAACCAUCCAUCCUUUCUUCCAUCCAUCCAUCCUUCCAUCCACCCACCCACCCACUCGUCCAUCCAUCCAUCGACUUAACCAUCCAUCCAUUCAUCCAUCCACUCAUCGACCCACCCGUCCACCCACCCAUGAACUUAACCAUCCAUCCUUUCAUCCAUCCAUCAACCCACCCAUCAACCCACCCAUCCACCCACCCACCCAUCCAUCCACUCAUCCAUAUUCACUGGGUGCCUACCACAUGGCACACACUCUGGGGGACUGGCUAUGAUCCAAUGGAAAAUGGACAUGAACCACAUGACAACGGCACGGAGAGGUCCAUGGUCCAGAGUUUCCCACGGUAUCACAAGGUGACCCAACAUCAAUGGGGGUCCAGAAAGCUUCCCUGAGGGGAGACAUCACAGCUGAGAGCCACAGGAGGCAUGGGGGUGGCCAGGUGAGGUGGAGGGAGCAAAUCGCAGGGCUCAUGGAGAGCAUGUGCAGGGACCUAGCCCUGGAGGCUGGGCACCGCCGACAGCUGACAGGCACAUGUUCAGGGCAGCAGGCAUGGAGCACUGGCUGGAGGCUGAAGAGGCUAGCAGGGGCCCUGCUGCAGGUUUGUGGCCAUGGCAGCACACGAACAGGGCACGUGGCAGUCAGAGUGGUGUUUUUGUCUAUCACCAUGUGGUGUGGAGAAUAGGCAGGCAGCACAUCAUCCUGGCCCCCAAAACCCUUGCGGGCUCCAUUCUCCCCCCACCCCAACCCUGUCACCCAAGUUAUAAGCCUGGACUGGGCCUGACUCCCCUUUCUUCCUCCAUGGCCCUCCAUGGGGGCUAACCUAUCACCUAAUCUCAGCCUUUCAACUUCAUCAUCUCCAUCUCCAGCUCUCACACCACUCUUCAGGACCAAAUUUUCUCUCCCUUCUACGCUAACUGUCCCCAGAAGUGGCCUCUGCCUCUAGUCUGGCCUCCCUCCAGGCUCCCCUCUCCAAAGCUGCCCGGCACCACCUCUGCAGAAAUUCUGCAGUUCAUUCACCAAAAAGAAACACAUGUGGCUCUUAAGCAAAUGAAAAGGUGACCAGCCUCACGCAUCGUAAGAGAAACGCAAACUCUAACUACACCCAAAUUCCUUUGUUUUGUUUAGUUUUUGCCUUUCAGAUGGACAAAAAUCAAAAUAGGUGGAAACCAGGGGCUGGUGAGCCUGAGGAGAAACAGCCCUGUUGACUGUGUGGGGGCCUGGUACCUGGCACAGUCUCCGAGAAGGACAAGCUGACAGAGCUGACAAAAUGACCACUGCAAGCUGGGCACGGUGGUGCGUGCCUGUAGUCCCAGCCACGCAGGAGGCCAAGGCGGGAGGAUGGCUUAAGCCCAGGAGGUCGAGGCUGCAGUCAGCUAUGAUGACACCAUUGUACAUUGUACUCCAGCCUGGGUGACAGAGCAGGACCCUGUCUCUAAAAUAACAAUAAUAAGACACCACUGCAUGUAUCUUUUGCCCCCCAGUCCUCCCAAGUCCCUUCUGGGAAUGUAUUCCGCAGCAGCGCUCGUGCAUGUGUGAAAGGGCUUUUGUACAGAUGACUCACUGCGGCACUGCCUGUCUUGAGAAAGGGCUGGAA
This is an RNA transcript of Pan troglodytes (chimpanzee), 4375 nucleotides long. It is a transcript of the gene named DNA polymerase alpha 2, accessory subunit, with no coding region annotated. The transcript has 19 exons. The record is from RefSeq and is a predicted model, not a curated record. NCBI's taxonomy places the organism in Eukaryota, Metazoa, Chordata, Mammalia, Primates, Hominidae.